RNAcentral lists this ribosomal RNA (404 nucleotides) under Verrucomicrobiota bacterium. Its description in RNAcentral is "Verrucomicrobia bacterium partial 16S ribosomal RNA". It matches the Rfam family "Bacterial small subunit ribosomal RNA", at positions 355 to 776 of the family's 1533-position model. Lineage: Bacteria; Pseudomonadati; Verrucomicrobiota. The record is from RNAcentral.
UGGGGAAUAUUGGACAAUGGGCGCAAGCCUGAUCCAGCCAUGCCGCGUGAGUGAUGAAGGCCCUAGGGUUGUAAAGCUCUUUCACCGGUGAAGAUAAUGACGGUAACCGGAGAAGAAGCCCCGGCUAACUUCGUGCCAGCAGCCGCGGUAAUACGAAGGGGGCUAGCGUUGUUCGGAUUUACUGGGCGUAAAGCGCACGUAGGCGGACUUUUAAGUCAGGGGUGAAAUCCCGGGGCUCAACCCCGGAACUGCCUUUGAUACUGGAAGUCUUGAGUAUGGUAGAGGUGAGUGGAAUUCCAUGUGUAGCGGUGAAAUUCGUAGAUAUUCGGAGGAACACCAGUGGCGAAGGCGGCUCACUGGACCAUUACUGACGCUGAGGUGCGAAAGCGUGGGGAGCAAACAGG